GGGAGACGUCGUACUGCAGUCGAGCGAAUGGAUUAAGAGCUUGCUCUUAUGAAGUUAGCGGCGGACGGGUGAGUAACACGUGGGUAACCUGCCCAUAAGACUGGGAUAACUCCGGGAAACCGGGGCUAAUACCGGAUAACAUUUUGAACCGCAUGGUUCGAAAUUGAAAGGCGGCUUCGGCUGUCACUUAUGGAUGGACCCGCGUCGCAUUAGCUAGUUGGUGAGGUAACGGCUCACCAAGGCAACGAUGCGUAGCCGACCUGAGAGGGUGAUCGGCCACACUGGGACUGAGACACGGCCCAGACUCCUACGGGAGGCAGCAGUAGGGAAUCUUCCGCAAUGGACGAAAGUCUGACGGAGCAACGCCGCGUGAGUGAUGAAGGCUUUCGGGUCGUAAAACUCUGUUGUUAGGGAAGAACAASUGCUAGUUGAAUAAGCUGGCACCUUGACGGUACCUAACCAGAAAGCCACGGCUAACUACGUGYCAGCAGCCGCGGUAAUACGUAGGUGGCAAGCGUUAUCCGGAAUUAUUGGSCGUAAAGCGCGCGCAGGUGGUUUCUUAAGUCUGAUGUGAAAGCCCACGGCUCAACCGUGGAGGGUCAUUGGAAACUGGGAGACUUGAGUGCAGAAGAGGAAAGUGCAAUUCCAUGUGUAGCGGUGAAAUGCGUAGAGAUAUGGAGGAACACCAGUGACGAAGGCGACUUUCUGGUCUGUAACUGACACUGAGGCGCGAAAGCGUGGGGAGCAAACAGGAUUAGAUACGCUGCUACUCAACGCCGUACACGAUGAGUGCUAAGAGUGAGAUGCUUUCUGCCCUUUAGUGCUGAAGUCACCCCAUUACGCACUCCG
This 849-nucleotide ribosomal RNA is filed under the name Bacillus sp. (in: firmicutes). RNAcentral's name for it is "bacterial SSU rRNA". It matches the Rfam family "Bacterial small subunit ribosomal RNA", at positions 42 to 871 of the family's 1533-position model. The record is from RNAcentral. Lineage: Bacteria; Bacillati; Bacillota; Bacilli; Caryophanales; Bacillaceae.